Unclassified non-coding RNA from Dipodomys ordii (Ord's kangaroo rat), 131 nucleotides. Ensembl annotates it as predicted gene, 27330. NCBI's taxonomy places the organism in Eukaryota, Metazoa, Chordata, Mammalia, Rodentia, Heteromyidae. The record is from Ensembl.
AAAACAAAGGUGCCUUUGCCAGUAUUCUAUUCCCUUUGACAAGCCUUGAGAUUUCUGAGGGGAAUCCAUUAUAAAUGGGAUCAGGUCAUUCAUUUAUGUUGUGUGCAAAUAGAAUUUAAAGAUACAACCUA